Molecule: ribosomal RNA, 248 nt
Filed under: uncultured bacterium
Lineage: Bacteria
Description: partial 16S ribosomal RNA
Rfam family: Bacterial small subunit ribosomal RNA
Source: RNAcentral
GAUCCUGGCUCAGGACGAACGCUGGCGGCGCGCCUAACACAUGCAAGUCGAACGGAGCUUAAAGAGCUUGCUUUUUAAGCUUAGUGGCGAACGGGUGAGUAACGCGUGAGUAACCUGCCCUGGAGUGGGGGACAACAGUUGGAAACGACUGCCAAUACCGCAUAAGCCCACGGAUUCGCAUGGAUCUGCGGGAAAAGGAUUUAUUCGCUUCAGGAUGGACUCGCGUCCAAUUAGCUAGUUCGGUGAGG